This 71-nucleotide transfer RNA is filed under the name Bacteriophage sp. Its description in RNAcentral is "tRNA-Gln". It matches the Rfam family "tRNA". Rfam says of the family: Transfer RNA (tRNA) molecules are approximately 80 nucleotides in length. Their secondary structure includes four short double-helical elements and three loops (D, anti-codon, and T loops). Further hydrogen bonds mediate the characteristic L-shaped molecular structure. tRNAs have two regions of fundamental functional importance: the anti-codon, which is responsible for specific mRNA codon recognition, and the 3' end, to which the tRNAs corresponding amino acid is attached (by aminoacyl-tRNA synthetases). tRNAs cope with the degeneracy of the genetic code in two manners: having more than one tRNA (with a specific anti-codon) for a particular amino acid; and 'wobble' base-pairing, i.e. permitting non-standard base-pairing at the 3rd anti-codon position. The record is from RNAcentral.
UGGACUAUGGUGUAAUGGUAACACAACAGUUUUUGGAGCUGUUAUUCUAGGUUCGAAUCCUGGUGGUCCAA